AAUUCCUUAACUUAACAGGUAAAGUGUAUUCUUGAUAAGGAUAUUAUCAGUGUUCGAUCCACUGAGGAAUUA
Transfer RNA from Metarhizium majus ARSEF 297, 72 nucleotides. It matches the Rfam family "tRNA". Rfam says of the family: Transfer RNA (tRNA) molecules are approximately 80 nucleotides in length. Their secondary structure includes four short double-helical elements and three loops (D, anti-codon, and T loops). The record is from Rfam. Lineage: Eukaryota; Fungi; Ascomycota; Sordariomycetes; Hypocreales; Clavicipitaceae.